RNAcentral lists this transfer RNA (76 nucleotides) under Anaerolineae bacterium CFX9. Its description in RNAcentral is "tRNA-Glu". It matches the Rfam family "tRNA". Rfam says of the family: Transfer RNA (tRNA) molecules are approximately 80 nucleotides in length. Their secondary structure includes four short double-helical elements and three loops (D, anti-codon, and T loops). Lineage: Bacteria; Bacillati; Chloroflexota; Anaerolineae. The record is from RNAcentral.
GGCUCCAUCGUCUAGAGGCCCAGGACGUGGCCCUUUCAAGGCCAAAACACGGGUUCGAAUCCCGUUGGAGCUAACA